RNAcentral lists this ribosomal RNA (468 nucleotides) under uncultured bacterium. RNAcentral describes it as "partial 16S ribosomal RNA". It matches the Rfam family "Bacterial small subunit ribosomal RNA", at positions 28 to 507 of the family's 1533-position model. The record is from RNAcentral.
GACGAACGCUGGCGGCGUGCUUAACACAUGCAAGUCGAACGGAAAGGACCUGCUGUUGUGGGGUGCUCGAGUGGCGAACGGGUGAGUAACACGUGAGUAACCUGCCCUUGACUUUGGGAUAACUUCAGGUAACUGGGGCUAAUACCGGCUAGGAGCUCCUGCUGCACGGUGGGGGUCGGAAAGUUUCGGCGGUUGGGUAUGGACUCGCGGCUUAUCAGCUUGUUGGUGGGGUAGUGGCUUACCAAGGCUUUGACGGGUAGCCGGCCGGAGAGGGUGAACCGCCCCAUCGGGACGAAGCUACGGCCCUGUCGGCACUGGGCGGCAGCCGCCGGCUGUGUUGCCCAAGGCACGGCAGCCUGGGGCCACGCCGCACAGCCCGCAGCCACGGCCAUCCGCUUCUGUCCGGCUGUAGCGUGUGACGAUGGGGCAGUGCCGGUAACGGGUAGGGAAGACACGGCUACCUCCAUG